Molecule: ribosomal RNA, 274 nt
Filed under: uncultured Rhodococcus sp.
Lineage: Bacteria; Bacillati; Actinomycetota; Actinomycetes; Mycobacteriales; Nocardiaceae
Description: partial 16S ribosomal RNA
Rfam family: Bacterial small subunit ribosomal RNA
Source: RNAcentral
AUGUUGCCAGCACGUUAUGGUGGGGACUCGUAAGAGACUGCCGGGGUCGAACUCGGAGGAAGGUGGGGACGACGUCAAGUCAUCAUGCCCCUUAUGUCCAGGGCUUCACGACAUGCUACAAUGGCCAGUACAGAGGGCUGCGAGACCGUGAGGUGGAGCGAAUCCCUUAAAGCUGGUCUCAGUUCGGAUCGGGGUCUGCAACUCGACCCCGUGAAGUCGGAGUCGCUAGUAAUCGCAGAUCAGCAACGCUGCGGUGAAUACGUUCCCGGGCCUU